GCCCAAGAGAUCGGGAUAACACCUGAAAACAGAUGCUAAUACCGGAUAACAACAGAUGAUGCCUAUCAACUGUUUAAAAGAUGGUUCUGCUAUCACUCUUGGAUGGACCUGCGGUGCAUUAGCUAGUUGGUAGGGUAACGGCCUACCAAGGCGAUGAUGCAUAGCCGAGUUGAGAGACUGAUCGGCCACAUUGGGACUGAGACACGGCCCAAACUCCUACGGGAGGCAGCAGCC
Molecule: ribosomal RNA, 234 nt
Filed under: uncultured Lactobacillus sp.
Lineage: Bacteria; Bacillati; Bacillota; Bacilli; Lactobacillales; Lactobacillaceae
Description: partial 16S ribosomal RNA
Rfam family: Bacterial small subunit ribosomal RNA
Source: RNAcentral